CAACAUCUUCCUGCUGCCACUGCCUGUCCCCCAGCCCUUGCCGCCCCACACAAACACUUCACAAAAUUCUUGGUCACAAAGGAGGCCUGGUCAGCUAAUCCAAAGGGUGUUGUCUGCUUUUCUGCACAGAAGACAACCACGCCUGUGCAGACUCCUGGCCCCGAAGCCGGGCUGGUCCACAGAGACAGAAGUUCUCCUGUGCCCCAGUGACAUUGCCAAAUUAUGUUCCUGGUGUGCGUAAAUCAGAACCGGCAUCCUGGCAGGGUGGAGUGGUAAAGGUAGGAGAAGUAGGCUUCUUGUUGGGAUCAGAUCACCAAUAGAACCCUAUAGAAGCCAUAAGCCACAGAGGAGAUGAAGCCUGCCAUUGGAAUAUACAGAGGAGCAAAUCUAGUCAGUGACUUAUCACGUGGACAAGAAGAGACAUGAACAGUGGUGAACCUGGAGGGGAGAAGGUGAAGGAAAACCAGAAGGUACCUUGACACCAAGAGGAAAGGGGACAAAGAAACCUUUGCUCAAGGAUCAUGGUUCCAAACGCCUUCCCAUCCUGGUUUGAAUUAGGUCUCCUUUGAAGUCAGUGCCAGACACCUUCCUAAAGCUCUUUGGUCUGAGGGUGGUGCCCUCAGGACCACUACCUUUUUCUAAAAUUUAAAUCCAAGUUAGUUAAUAUAGAGUGUAGUAUUGGUUUCAGGAGUAGAAUUUGGUGAUUCCUCCCUUACAUAUAACACCCAGU
Ailuropoda melanoleuca (giant panda) is the source of this 730-nucleotide long non-coding RNA. RefSeq lists it as uncharacterized. The record is from RefSeq and is a predicted model, not a curated record. NCBI's taxonomy places the organism in Eukaryota, Metazoa, Chordata, Mammalia, Carnivora, Ursidae. The transcript has 3 exons.